This 467-nucleotide ribosomal RNA is filed under the name uncultured bacterium. RNAcentral's name for it is "bacterial SSU rRNA". It matches the Rfam family "Bacterial small subunit ribosomal RNA", at positions 330 to 794 of the family's 1533-position model. The record is from RNAcentral.
ACCAGACUCCUACGGGAGGCAGCAGUGAGGAAUAUUGGUCAAUGGGCGCGAGCCUGAACCAGCCAAGUCGCGUGAGGGAAGACGGUCCUAUGGAUUGUAAACCUCUUUUGUCGGGGAGCAAAGCGAACCACGUGUGGUUCAUUGAGAGUACCCGAAGAAAAAGCAUCGGCUAACUCCGUGCCGGCAGCCGCGGUAAUACGGAGGAUGCGAGCGUUAUCCGGAUUUAUUGGGUUUAAAGGGAGCGUAGGCCGGUCUUUAAGCGUGCCGUGAAAUUUUGUGGCUCAACCAUGAGAGUGCGGCGCGAACUGGAGACCUUGAGUGCGCGGAAGGCAGGCGGAAUUCGUGGUGUAGCGGUGAAAUGCUUAGAUAUCACGAAGAACCCCGAUUGCGAAGGCAGCUUACUAAACUGUGACUGACAUUGAUGCUCGAAAGUGUGGGUAUCAAACAGGAUUAGAUACCCGCGUAAA